UUGCAUAGGAACUACAUCACAUGUCACCUCAUCACUAUACUUUCUAAUAGUAAAAGGCACCCUCACUUGCUUAUUAACUCUCACCCUCCCCACUAUUGUUAAGCCAUUGUAGUUUAUAGGGUUUAUGAUGUUUUGUAGUUUCUAAACCCAGUUUAUCAACAAACAAGGUACUAGCCACAUUUACACAACUAUCCCCAUCACUAAUCAUGCUAUACAAUUUUUCAUUCACUAGAUAUCUAUAAUGAAAAUUGUUUUCUCUUUGCAACUUAACCCCCUCAUCAUCAUUCCUUACUUGCGUAUUCAAAGCAUGCUUAGAAACCAACAAUCUAUCUUCCAUAGGUGUUUUCCUAUCACUACAAUCCUCCAAAGGAGGCAUUUCAUCCUCCACAUCACUCUCAUC
RNAcentral lists this long non-coding RNA (400 nucleotides) under Carica papaya (papaya). RNAcentral describes it as "long non-coding RNA (CPAP_LNC009844)". Lineage: Eukaryota; Viridiplantae; Streptophyta; Magnoliopsida; Brassicales; Caricaceae. The record is from RNAcentral.